GUGCGGCCGAGCUGCUUUGGUGGAUUGUCUUUAAUGAAUGGGACAAAUUCUUGGGGCCGAACGCACCCCUCCCCUUCCCCCAACACCCAGUUCUGCUUCCUGUUUGCUACUCAAUCGAAUUCUGAAUGGUGAACAACCCUAUCAAUACAGUCGAACACUUCCGAGGGGAGAUUGGUUACCCAAUUUGUGGAUGUGAGCGGCAAAGACAGUAGCUGAGGUUUGAAGCUGAACCACACCAUGAAAGUGAGUCCCUAGCUCAUGCCAGGCAACUGUGUGGUUCGAGUGUUAUGUGUGAACAUUGAUGUGAUGUGAGUGAAAGAUGGAGUCUAGUCCACCCGUCCAACUUCCUGAACACAAAUAAGCACCUCACUUCCACGUUUGCCUUGCCUGUUAGUGUCCAGCUGUACACAACUCAAUUACAACCACCAUGGCUUUAAUUGUGUAUGCGGUGAGUUUGCGAAUAGAAAGUAAAAUAACUUUUUGCAAAGAAAAAUAAACGACAGGGGAUUUUUCCUGGGAGGAAAGCUUUAGUUUACUAUAUGACAUGUUUCUUAAUAGUGCUAAAUUGUUCUGUGUUCUUUAAAUAAACAAUGG
This 594-nucleotide long non-coding RNA is filed under the name Sinocyclocheilus grahami. RNAcentral describes it as "lncRNA (ENSSGRG00000011362.1)". The record is from RNAcentral. Lineage: Eukaryota; Metazoa; Chordata; Actinopteri; Cypriniformes; Cyprinidae.